Molecule: ribosomal RNA, 433 nt
Filed under: uncultured bacterium
Lineage: Bacteria
Description: partial 16S ribosomal RNA
Rfam family: Bacterial small subunit ribosomal RNA
Source: RNAcentral
AACGAACGCUGGCGGCAUGCCUAACACAUGCAAGUCGAACGAAAACUCCGGGUCUAGUGGCGCACGGGGGCGUAACGCGUGGGAAGCUGCCCUUAGGUACGGAAUAACUCCCCGAAAGGGGUGCUAAUGCAGGAUAAGGUCUUCUGACCAAAGAUUUAUCGCCUUUGGAUGGGCGCUGGUUGGAUUAGCUAGUUGGUAGGGUAAAAGCCGACCAAGGCGACGAUCCAUAGCUGGUCUGAGAGGAGGAUCAGCCACGCUGGGACUCAGACACGGCCCAGAAUCGUACGGGAGGGAGGAGAGGGGAAUAGAGGAGAAUGGGCGAAGGCCUGAUCCCGCAAUGCCGGGUAAGUGAUGAAGGCGGUAGGGUAGUAAAGCUCUUUUACCCGGGACGAUAAUGACGGUACCGGGAGAAUAAGCUCCGGCUAACUCCGUG